CGUGCCUUCUUGCCACAGG
This 19-nucleotide unclassified non-coding RNA is filed under the name Mus musculus (house mouse). Its description in RNAcentral is "oocyte_clustered_small_RNA5725". The record is from RNAcentral. Lineage: Eukaryota; Metazoa; Chordata; Mammalia; Rodentia; Muridae.